UCCGAGUUGACCCCGGCAGUCUCCCAUGAGUCCCCGGCAUUACCCGCUGGCAACAUGGAACGAGGGUUGCGCUCGUUGCGGGACUUAACCCAACAUCUCACGACACGAGCUGACGACAGCCAUGCAGCACCUGUCUAGGGGUCCCGAAGGAGGGACUCGGUUUCUCGAGUCUUUCCCCUAGAUGUCAAGCCCAGGUAAGGUUCUUCGCGUUGCGUCGAAUUAAACCACAUGCUCCACCGCUUGUGCGGGCCCCCGUCAAUUUCUUUGAGUUUUAACCUUGCGGCCGUACUCCCCAGGCGGAUGACUUAAUGCGUUAGCUGCGCCACCGAAAGCCUAAGGCCCCCGACAGCUAGUCAUCAUCGUUUACGGCGUGGACUAC
Molecule: unclassified non-coding RNA, 379 nt
Filed under: uncultured bacterium
Lineage: Bacteria
Description: contains 16S-23S intergenic spacer region
Source: RNAcentral